Helicoverpa zea (corn earworm) is the source of this 837-nucleotide long non-coding RNA. RefSeq lists it as uncharacterized. The record is from RefSeq and is a predicted model, not a curated record. The transcript is spliced from 2 exons. NCBI's taxonomy places the organism in Eukaryota, Metazoa, Arthropoda, Insecta, Lepidoptera, Noctuidae.
GACCUUUUAUCAGUAAAGUUGAUGGCCUGAUUGAUAGAUGUGUAUAAAUUGUAUAAUAGAUACUUAUCUCUGUUGCUGUUAACCUUUACAUUUACUUUAUAGACCGUUAGCGACGAUUAAAACUACUUAACGCUCUAUUGACGUUCCAUUGCAUAUUGGUACUUACGCCUGCUGCAGAAAUACAAGAUGUUGUGUAACGGCGUCAUAGCAGCUUUGUUAGUUCUGGCAAGCGUAACACCAAGUUUCCAAGACCCGACUGGCGACCCUAAAGAGGAGGAGUGCAAAAAAAUAUCUUCGUGUGCGUCUUGCAUAGCUAAAAGUUUUUGCACGUGGUGUGUUACCAAAAGUAAAUGCACCAAGCAAUCAUGCGGCAACGAUAACAUAAUUUUCCCCCAAGGGUACUCCUCCAUAAUGGCUGGGCCGCAGUUCUGUCCCAGGGUCGUGCAACCGGAAGAAAUACAGACUCUAAAAAGUGGAGCAAAACAAAUUAUUGCUGUGAAACUUACUCAAAUACAUUUGUAUAUGGCGUUUACUCCAUGGAAAUGUAAAAUAGAUUAUAACGGAGCGCAAACGACAGUGGUGGCAAUGUUGUUAGGUGACCAAGUAUUUUGUGAAUCUGUGUUACUUACUAACGAGUCUCAUGAGCCGUACGUGAGCGGGAGUGUAUCAGUUCUGUGGGACUACAGUAAAUCCUUUGAUGGAUCUGUUCCGUUUAAAGUGUGCCGCUGUGACUUAGACCCUUAUUGUAAAGCUUGUAACAAAUUAACUUUAGGCCAAUAGAUUAAGAGCUACUUUAAGAUGUGUUUGUACAUAAUAAAUUACCAAAGCAGUUUUAAA